CGGGACGUGGCGCAGCUCGGUAGCGCGCCUGAAUGGGGUUCAGGAGGUCGCGGGUUCGAAUCCCGCCGUCCCGA
Molecule: transfer RNA, 74 nt
Filed under: Gemmatimonadota bacterium
Lineage: Bacteria; Pseudomonadati; Gemmatimonadota
Also listed under: 2 other names
Description: tRNA-Pro
Rfam family: tRNA
About the family: Transfer RNA (tRNA) molecules are approximately 80 nucleotides in length. Their secondary structure includes four short double-helical elements and three loops (D, anti-codon, and T loops).
Source: RNAcentral